Molecule: long non-coding RNA, 3268 nt
Filed under: Coffea arabica (coffee)
Lineage: Eukaryota; Viridiplantae; Streptophyta; Magnoliopsida; Gentianales; Rubiaceae
Description: long non-coding RNA (CARA_LNC000130)
Source: RNAcentral
AAAAAAUUAAUUCUUUUUUAUUUCUUUUCGAUUGAAUAUAAGCGUAGCAAAGGAAUAGUGGGAGUGUGGAAUAAAAAGGAGUAGUUUGUUGGGUUGAAAAUCGCGGUUAACAACGAAGUCGUUCCAAUUUGGAUGAAAAGUCCUUUGAACCAUGCCAAUGCCAUGGCUUUUAUAUCCAGUGUUGGUGUUUUGCUCUCAUGCAGCCUGGGAUCUGCAAAUUGUGGAAGGCCCUGUAGAUGAAUAUACAUAUUGUCCUAAUCAAUUUGUUAACAAAUCAAGGCGUGUAUUAAAUUUAUAAAAGAAAGUAUUUAUCAAUAUGUAUUUGUAUUGAGAAGGGAAACUAAUGGGGGAUAAAAGAAAAACAAGAAUUAGAUACUAUUAAAACAAAAAAAUCAACAAAGGAAAUCAAUAAUUUUGGAAAAUCGAGCAAUUAAAAUGGAUCAAGAGCGAACUUUACUAAUUUCCAGGUGUAGCUACGAACUAUUCCCUAACCCCUAACUCCUCAACCCAUUUGUCCUUUCCCUGAAACUUUGACCAACAAUGACUGAAAUCACAUUUAAGUCAAUUGUACAUUGGCUAUGGAGAGUUAAUCAAUACCUUAGGCCCAUCUAAUCCAAUCAGUAGGAAACAUAACCAUAAUUGGCAUAUAACUAUGAAUCUCAAUUUUUAAAAUUUACAACUUUUAUAAAACAAAAUCAAGAAAAGGAGCAUGUUCAAAAGAAAAAACAAUCCAUAAAAACAUUUGAUAUUAAUAGAAGUAAAAUGUAAAGAAAACAUUAAUUGCACAAAAUUUCAAAACUAUUCCAGAUAUUAGCAUAGGAUAUUCAUUAAUCCAAGUAACACACUUGAACAGUGGCCCCGUUUGGCAAAUGACUUUUUUGAGUGUUUGUCUAAAACUUUACCUUAGAAGUUGUAGAAAAAAUUUUUAAAAUGAGAAACUUUUUUUCGUUUCUUUCUUUUUCUCUUUCUCUUUUUUUUUCUUUUUCUUUCUUUCUUUCUUUUUUCUUUUCUUUCCUCUCUUCUUGUCCUCCCCUCCCCCUCCCAAUCCGCCUCUCCCUCUCCCUCCCCUGCCACUCACCCUCCCUGUUGGAAGCAGCAACAGCACCAGUAGAAACCAAAAAAAAAAUUUUUUUUUUGCCUUUUCCUCUCUCCCCUUCUUCUCCCUUUCCCCCUCCCCCACCACUCUCCCUCCCCGUCAGAAGCAGCAAUAGAAACAAAAAACAAAAUUUUUUGCCUUUUCCUCUCUCCCCCCUCUCCUUCCCUUUCCCCUUCCUCGCCCCUACUACCGGAUCUGGUUGUGUGACCAGAUAGUACCGCUAGAAGGGUGGGGGAGGGUGGCUGGGGAGGAAGAGGGGGAGAGAGGAGGGAGGGAAGGAGGAGAGGAAGAAGGAGAAGAAAAAUGAAAAAAAAAAAGAGGUUGCUGGCACCGGAACCGGUCUUGGCUGGCGCAAGAGGUGGUGGUGGGUUGGGUGGAAGAAGAAAUGAGGAAGGGAAAUUAUUUUGAUUGUUUUGGGUAUUUUAAAGUGUGCAGUUUAAAAAUUUUGAGAAAUUUUUUGAAAUUACUAUAGCUAAAGUUAUUAAAAAACUGGUAGGCGACAAACUUAGCCAAAAACUCCUUUGCAAAAUAGGCCCAAUAUUUAAGAAAACACAAAAGCCGUGUCACUUCUUGCACAUUUGGUUCAACCAAGAUAAUUUCAAGAAACACAUAAAGGUAAUAACUUCACCUAAUUAAUGUAAAUGCAUCGCAAUUGAAUGUAAUCAAAUACUAUCCAAAUCAUCAAAACAACAUAACAGAAACAUCAAAACCUAAACAAAGAAAUCACGAUAUAGUUGAUCCAAUAUUACAAUAACAUCCAAGACAAAAAGAUUUUCUAUGAUAAUAUUUAUAGAGAAACAAUGCCUAUUCAGCAAUACCACCAAAAAACAAAAAGGCUAAAACAACUUUUGUUAAAUAUGAUAGAAAACAAUCAAAGAGAAUCUUUUGAAACUAAAAAAAAAGACCAUUACCAAAAACUGAGGAAAGAUCAAACAUAUCCACUAAAUCCAUUGCAUAGCAUUUUAGACAAAAAGAAGCACACAACUAAAGUAGAUCUCACAAAAAAACAUAAAGAACAAUCAUUUGCAUCUUUAACAAAACUUACACCUUUAUAUUAUUGCAAUCUAAAGACCCACAACCCAGACAAGAAUCUAAUACCAACUCUAAUUCAGAAUCUUAAUCUUUCACGACAUUUAAAUAUGGAUUACUAUGUAGAACAAAGUUAAAGAGGAGAAAUAUUAAGUGCAACUUCACCUUCAAGCUCUUGAUGCUGAGGUACUAAAGUUUGAUUCUCCAACAAUCUCUUGUUCUACCUAGGCAGGUAAUUCUUGCGUUUUAUUAUGUAAGUGGCCAUUGCUUUGCCAGAUGGAGAUUAGGGUUCGCCAACUCGGCUGAGUCUGUUACGACUCGGCCGAGUCAUAACCGGAACGGCACCUGCCGUUCCGAUACUGAUACCCGAAAUGUCGAUUACACCAUAUCCGAUUUGAAUCGCUCCGAAUCAGCCGAUAUCCUCAGAAUUAGCACUGUGUAGCAAGAUAACAGCCAAAUUCUCAGAUUCGACUCAAAUAUGUACCAGUAAACAAGUUUAAACAGCAAUUGGGAAGCCAACACCAAACAAAAAAAGAACCAACACCGAAAGGACACAAAAGGCAUCGCACCAUAGCUAGCUACGGCUGUUGCAGAGCAUUUUACAAAACCAAACAAAACUACAAUUACCAAAGGUGGUCCACACGGUUGUUGCAGUCUUUUCCCAUGCUUUAUUGUUUUAUUUUUCAGCCACAAAGACAAGCUUUAGGGAAAAGUGGGGAUAAAGAGAACCAUACCAGCAAUUCCUCCGUAAUCUAUCACUAGUUUUUGGGCUUCCCUCCAGAAUAAAGGUGACGGCCGGCUGGAGAAACAAGCCGAUUGGUUCUUCAAUUUCUUCAUCGUUCGGCUGUAGCUCAGAUCUGUUGACAGCCGGCUCACAUCUGUUGAUGCCCGGCUGCGGCUCACAUCUGUUGACGGCUCAUAUCUAUUGACGGCCAGCUCAAAUUUCCAUUGGAGAACAAAAUAUUGUUCAAUGAGCCAACUCUUCAAUUAUAGAAAGGGAAAGCAAAAGAAAAAGUAAAGGUGAUGGCCGGCUCUUCAAUUUCCACAUUAUCUGGCCGUGAAGGAGGUGAAAAAGUGAGAAACGGAAAUUGGGAAAAAAAAUGAAGGGAAGAGACAGAGGAAGAUAUGGCUAAAAUUGAAGGG